This 263-nucleotide ribosomal RNA is filed under the name uncultured bacterium. RNAcentral's name for it is "partial 16S ribosomal RNA". It matches the Rfam family "Bacterial small subunit ribosomal RNA", at positions 793 to 1055 of the family's 1533-position model. The record is from RNAcentral.
GUCCUUGCCGUAAACUAUGUAUACUUGGUGUAACCGGAAUCAACCCUGGUUGUGCCGUAGCUAACGCGAUAAGUAUACCGCCUGGGGAGUACGCUCGCAAGGGUGAAACUCAAAAGAAUUGACGGGGACCCGCACAAGCAGUGGAGCAUGUGGUUUAAUUCGAUGCAACGCGAAGAACCUUACCCAGACUUGACAUACAGUGGAAGUUAGCAGAAAUGUUAACGCCCUUCGGGGCCGCUGAACAGGUGCUGCAUGGCUGUCGU